RNAcentral lists this ribosomal RNA (615 nucleotides) under Salmonella enterica subsp. enterica. RNAcentral describes it as "partial 23S ribosomal RNA". It matches the Rfam family "Bacterial large subunit ribosomal RNA", at positions 161 to 715 of the family's 2925-position model. The record is from RNAcentral. Lineage: Bacteria; Pseudomonadati; Pseudomonadota; Gammaproteobacteria; Enterobacterales; Enterobacteriaceae.
AAUCCAUAGGUUAAUGAGGCGAACCGGGGGAACUGAAACAUCUAAGUACCCCGAGGAAAAGAAAUCAACCGAGAUUCCCCCAGUAGCGGCGAGCGAACGGGGAGGAGCCCAGAGCCUGAAUCAGCAUGUGUGUUAGUGGAAGCGUCUGGAAAGGCGCGCGAUACAGGGUGACAGCCCCGUACACAAAAGCGCAUGUGCUGUGAGCUCGAUGAGUAGGGCGGGACACGUGGUAUCCUGUCUGAAUAUGGGGGGACCAUCCUCCAAGGCUAAAUACUCCUGACUGACCGAUAGUGAACCAGUACCGUGAGGGAAAGGCGAAAAGAACCCCGGCGAGGGGAGUGAAAAAGAACCUGAAACCGUGUACGUACAAGCAGUGGGAGCCCCACCACCAAAGCAUUCUCUGGUGUUGAAGGCCCUGCAAAGCAGCAUCGCGGUGGCGGAGCGUCGUUUGCGACGCCCAACACACAAAACAAGCGGUGAGUGCUUUGGGGUGGGGUGACUGCGUACCUUUUGUAUAAUGGGUCAGCGACUUAUAUUCUGUAGCAAGGUUAACCGAAUAGGGGAGCCGGAGGGAAACCGAGUCUUAAUUGGGCGUUAAGUUGCAGGGUAUAGACC